AUCACAUGAGGAUUUUGUUGAAAGGCAGGUUCUGAUUCAGCAGGUCUGGAUGGAACCUGUGAUUCUGCAUUUCUAACCAAUUCCCAGGUGAUGCUGA
This 97-nucleotide microRNA precursor is filed under the name Sus scrofa (pig). Its description in RNAcentral is "mir-544 microRNA precursor family". It matches the Rfam family "mir-544 microRNA precursor family". Lineage: Eukaryota; Metazoa; Chordata; Mammalia; Artiodactyla; Suidae. The record is from Rfam by way of RNAcentral.